GAUGAAGAACGCAGCGAAAUGCGAUAAGUAGUGUGAAUUGCAGAAUUCAGUGAAUCAUCGAAUCUUUGAACGCACAUUGCGCCCUUUGGUAUUCCUUAGGGCAUGCCUGUUCGAGCGUCAUUUAAACCUUCAAGCUAAGCUUGGUGUUGGGUGACUGUCCGCUUCACGGCGGACUCGCCUCAAAAUUAUUGGCGGCCGGUACAUUGACUUCGAGCGCAGCAGAAACGCGAACUCGGGCCCGUCGUAUUGGCUCCCAGAAGCUAUCUUCACAAUUUUGACCUCGGAUCAGGUAGGGAUACCCGCUGAACUUAAGCAUAUCAAUAAGCGGAGGA
RNAcentral lists this unclassified non-coding RNA (332 nucleotides) under soil metagenome. RNAcentral's name for it is "partial contains 5.8S ribosomal RNA, internal transcribed spacer 2, and large subunit ribosomal RNA". The stretch from base 1 to 120 matches the Rfam family "5.8S ribosomal RNA", at positions 35 to 154 of the family's 154-position model. The record is from RNAcentral.